Molecule: ribosomal RNA, 279 nt
Filed under: uncultured bacterium
Lineage: Bacteria
Description: partial 16S ribosomal RNA
Rfam family: Bacterial small subunit ribosomal RNA
Source: RNAcentral
UGCCAGCAGCCGCGGUAAUACGGAGGGUGCAAGCGUUGCUCGGAAUUAUUGGGCGUAAAGGGUAGGUAGGUGGUCUCGUAAGUCUAAGGUGAAAUCCCGAAGCUCAACUUCGGAACUGCCUUGGAAACUACGAGACUAGAGUCCCAGAGAGGGUCGCGGAAUACCCGGUGUAGCGGUGAAAUGCGUAGAGAUCGGGUGGAACACCAGAGGCGAAGGCGGCGACCUGGAUGGGUGCUGACACUCAACUACGAAAGCGUGGGUAGCAAACAGGAUUAGAUA